UACGUAGGGGGCAAGCGUUGUCCGGAUUUAUUGGGCGUAAAGCGCGUGUAGGCGGCCCGGUAAGUCCGCUGUGAAAGUCGGGGGCUCAACCCUCGGAUGCCGGUGGAUACUGUCGGGCUAGAGUCCGGAAGAGGCGAGUGGAAUUCCUGGUGUAGCGGUGGAAUGCGCAGAUAUCAGGAGGAACACCAAUAGCGAAGGCAGCUCGCUGGGACGGUACUGACGCUGAGGCGCGAAAGCGUGGGGAGCGAACAGG
RNAcentral lists this ribosomal RNA (253 nucleotides) under uncultured prokaryote. Its description in RNAcentral is "partial 16S ribosomal RNA". It matches the Rfam family "Bacterial small subunit ribosomal RNA", at positions 524 to 776 of the family's 1533-position model. The record is from RNAcentral.